RNAcentral lists this ribosomal RNA (507 nucleotides) under uncultured bacterium. Its description in RNAcentral is "partial 16S ribosomal RNA". It matches the Rfam family "Bacterial small subunit ribosomal RNA", at positions 29 to 507 of the family's 1533-position model. The record is from RNAcentral.
ACGAACGCUGGCGGCGUGCCUCAUCCAUGCCCGUCGAACGCUUCUUUCCUCCCGAGUGCUUGCACUCAAUUGGAAAGAGGAGUGGCGGACGGGUGAGUAACACGUGGGUAACCUACCCAUCAGAGGGGGAUAACACUUGGAAACAGGUGCUAAUACCGCAUAACAGUUUAUGCCGCAUGGCAUAAGAGUGAAAGGCGCUUUCGGGUGUCGUUGAUGGAUGGACCCGCGGUGCAUUAGCUAGUUGGUGAGGUAACGGCUCACCAAGGCCACGAUGCAUAGCCGACCUGAGAGGGUGAUCGGCCACACUGGGACUGAGACACGGCCCAGACUCCUACGGGAGGCAGCAGUAGGGAAUCUUCGGCAAUGGACGAAAGUCUGACCGAGCAACGCCGCGUGAGUGAAGAAGGUUUUCGGAUCGUAAAACUCUGUUGUUAGAGAAGAACAAGGACGUUAGUAACUGAACGUCCCCUGACGGUAUCUAACCAGAAAGCCACGGCUAACUACGUG